UACGUAGGUGGCAAGCGUUGUCCGGAUUUACUGGGCGUAAAGAGCGCGCAGGCGGCCGAGUAAGUCGAAUGUGAAAGCCCCCGGCUCAACUGGGGAAGGUCAUUCGAUACUGUUCGGCUCGAAGAUAGGAGAGGGAAGCGGAAUUUCAGGUGUAGUGGUGAAAUGCGUAGAUAUCUGGAGGAAUACCGGUGGCGAAGGCGGCAUCCUGGACCGACAUUGACGCUGAGGAGCGAAAGCUAGGGGAGCAAACGGG
RNAcentral lists this ribosomal RNA (253 nucleotides) under uncultured bacterium. RNAcentral's name for it is "partial 16S ribosomal RNA". It matches the Rfam family "Bacterial small subunit ribosomal RNA", at positions 524 to 776 of the family's 1533-position model. The record is from RNAcentral.